GACGAACGCUGGCGGCGUGCCUAAUACAUGCAAGUAGAACGCUGAAGGAGAAGCUUGCUUCUCUGGAUGAGUUGCGAACGGGUGAGUAACGCGUAGGUAACCUGCCUGGUAGCGGGGGAUAACUAUUGGAAACGAUAGCUAAUACCGCAUAAGAGUAGAUGUUGCAUGACAUUUGCUUAAAAGGUGCAAUUGCAUCACUACCAGAUGGACCUGCGUUGUAUUAGCUAGUUGGUGAGGUAACGGCUCACCAAGGCAACGAUACAUAGCCGACCUGAGGGGGUGAUCGGCCACACUGGGACUGAGACACGGCCCAGACUCCUACGGGAGGCAGCAGUAGGGAAUCUUCGGCAAUGGACGGAAGUCUGACCGAGCAACGCCGCGUGAGUGAAGAAGGUUGUCGGAUCGUAAAGCUCUGUUGUAAGAGAAGAACGAGUGUGAGAGUGGAAAGUUCACACUGUGACGGUAUCUUACCAGAAAGGGACGGCUAACUACGUG
Molecule: ribosomal RNA, 495 nt
Filed under: uncultured bacterium
Lineage: Bacteria
Description: partial 16S ribosomal RNA
Rfam family: Bacterial small subunit ribosomal RNA
Source: RNAcentral